UUUUUAAACCUUCCUGGAGGAGCUUGCUAUCUAACCGAUAACCCUCGCUACACCUCACCAACUUUUGCCUACCAGCCUGUAUACCAUCGUCGUCAGUUUACCUUAUAAAAGCAGUAAACUAAAAGAAAAAAACUUCAUAACGCCAGAUCGAGGUGCAGCUUAUAAGUUGGGGAUUAGUGAGCUACAAUAUUUAAUAAUAAAUCCCAUUAUGGACAUACCUAUGAAUAUAAGUAUAAAAACAGGAUUCAGAAGUAAUUACAAAGUAAAAAAUUAUAAUGAACACAAAGCUCUAAAAUACGU
RNAcentral lists this ribosomal RNA (300 nucleotides) under cf. Pedicellasteridae sp. CLM-2010-1. RNAcentral's name for it is "partial 12S ribosomal RNA". Lineage: Eukaryota; Metazoa; Echinodermata; Asteroidea; Forcipulatida. The record is from RNAcentral.